Molecule: long non-coding RNA, 420 nt
Filed under: Sarcophilus harrisii (Tasmanian devil)
Lineage: Eukaryota; Metazoa; Chordata; Mammalia; Dasyuromorphia; Dasyuridae
Description: lncRNA (ENSSHAG00000025690.1)
Source: RNAcentral
ACCUUUCCCACAACCCUUGGAAAAUCUAAAUUUAUCUCCUAAUAUUUUUUCUCCCAUUUCAUAGUGUAUGUCUUUGAAUUUUACUCAUUCCUUAGGGCUCAGUUCUUCUGCUGCUAGAUGUUGCUUCCUCUGAAUUCCUACACCAGGUUAAGGUUAGAACUGGAAGGGACCUCAGAAGUCAUCAAAUUCAACUCUUAUUUUGAAGGUGAGGGGAAAAGACAUUUGAUUGGAUCACACAGAGACUAAUAAGAUGAUUUGGUACUCGGAGACUUGUUACAUUUUGUUGUGAUCCACAAGUCAAAGACUAUAGUAUUUUCAACAAAGCAGAAGACACAAAAUAUUUGAUAUUUGAGAGAAACAGGAAGAGUGGUGGAGCAAAUCAAGCAGACCAUCAAAGAAAUUUAUGUUGGAAACAUCUCA